This 254-nucleotide ribosomal RNA is filed under the name uncultured bacterium. RNAcentral's name for it is "partial 16S ribosomal RNA". It matches the Rfam family "Bacterial small subunit ribosomal RNA", at positions 524 to 776 of the family's 1533-position model. The record is from RNAcentral.
UACGUAGGGGGCGAGCGUUGUCCGGAUUUAUUGGGCGUAAAGAGCUCGUAGGCGGUUCGGUAAGUCGGAUGUGAAAUCUCCACGCUUAACGUGGAGGGGCCAUUCGAUACUGCCGUGACUCGAGUCCGGUAGGGGAGUGUGGAAUUCCCGGUGUAGCGGUGAAAUGCGCAGAGAUCGGGAGGAACACCCGUAGCGAAGGCGGCUCUCUGGGACGGUACUGACGCUGAGACGCGAAAGCGUGGGGAGCGAACAGG